RNAcentral lists this transfer RNA (75 nucleotides) under Caudoviricetes sp. RNAcentral describes it as "tRNA-Met". It matches the Rfam family "tRNA". From Rfam's summary of the family: Transfer RNA (tRNA) molecules are approximately 80 nucleotides in length. Their secondary structure includes four short double-helical elements and three loops (D, anti-codon, and T loops). Lineage: Duplodnaviria; Heunggongvirae; Uroviricota; Caudoviricetes. The record is from RNAcentral.
UGCGGGUUGGAGAAGUGGUAUCUCAUCGGACUCAUUAUCCGAAGAUCGCAGGAUCGUUCCCUGCACCCGCAACCA